This 434-nucleotide ribosomal RNA is filed under the name uncultured Oscillospiraceae bacterium. RNAcentral describes it as "partial 16S ribosomal RNA". It matches the Rfam family "Bacterial small subunit ribosomal RNA", at positions 341 to 792 of the family's 1533-position model. The record is from RNAcentral. Lineage: Bacteria; Bacillati; Bacillota; Clostridia; Eubacteriales; Oscillospiraceae.
ACGGAAGGCAGCAGUGGGGAAUAUUGGGCAAUGGGGGAAACCCUGACCCAGCAACGCCGCGUGAAGGAAGAAGGCCUUCGGGUUGUAAACUUCUUUUACCAGGGACGAUAAUGACGGUACCUGGAGAAAAAGCAACGGCUAACUACGUGCCAGCAGCCGCGGUAAUACGUAGGUUGCAAGCGUUGUCCGGAUUUACUGGGUGUAAAGGGCGUGUAGGCGGAGCUGCAAGUCAGAUGUGAAAUCCCGGGGCUCAACCCCGGAACUGCAUUUGUAACUGUAGCCCUUGAGUAUCGGAGAGGCAAGCGGAAUUCCUAGUGUAGCGGUGAAAUGCGUAGAUAUUAGGAGGAACACCAGUGGCGAAGGCGGCUUGCUGGACGACAACUGACGCUGAGGCGCGAAAGCGUGGGGAGCAAACAGGAUUAGAUACCCUGGUA